GGAGUCUGGACCGUAUCUCAGUUCCAAUGUGGCCGUUCAACCUCUCAGUCCGGCUACCGAUCGCAGACUUGGUGGGCCGUUACCCCGCCAACUAUCUAAUCGGACGCAAGCUCAUCUUCGUGCGAUAAAUCUUUGGCAUAAGAGCCAUGCGACUCCUAUGCGUUAUGCGGUAUUAGCAACUGUUUCCGGUUGUUAUUCCACACACAAAGGCAGAUUGCUUACGCGUUACUCACCCGUCCGCCACUCACUGUAUUUCUACAGUUCGUUCGACUUGAAUGUGUUAGGCACGCCGCCAGCGUUCAUC
RNAcentral lists this ribosomal RNA (304 nucleotides) under uncultured Ruminococcus sp. Its description in RNAcentral is "partial 16S ribosomal RNA". The record is from RNAcentral. Lineage: Bacteria; Bacillati; Bacillota; Clostridia; Eubacteriales; Oscillospiraceae.